Molecule: long non-coding RNA, 2068 nt
Filed under: Homo sapiens (human)
Lineage: Eukaryota; Metazoa; Chordata; Mammalia; Primates; Hominidae
Description: HSALNT0305191
Source: RNAcentral
GGACCGGAGGCGCGACCCCUCGGCCCACCUUGAGGCCCGGCCUAGGACUGGAGGCGCGACCCCUCGGCCCACCUUGAGGCCCGGCCUAGGACCGGAGGCGCGACCCCUGGGCCCACCUUGAGGCCCGGCCUAGGACUGGAGGCGCGACCCCUCGGCCCACCUUGAGGCCCGGCCUAGGACCGGAGGCGCGACCCCUGGGCCCACCUGGCGGCCCGGCCGGCACAGCCCGCCUCUCCUCUCCAGGCCAGGGCCCCACACCUUCCGCCUGACAGCCAGCCAAGCUCUUCAGUCCCCCGCCCUCCACCUGCCAGGGAGGCUCCGGGCGUUGUACCUGCCACCACGGGUGAAAGAACAUCAGUGUAUCAGCACAGCAAAUAUUCCAAAUGCCAGGCUGGAUUCCCUCCAAUUACCAGGACCUCCAGGCUUCUCCUCCUUUCAAGAACUUUCUGACCCUGGAUCCAGUCUAAAUGUUGGUUAUAAACUCACCUGACAUCCACAGGGCCCUUCCAAAAUACUGUCAAGGCUGACUGCUGGUGCCUGGAACCUGCACACCCUCCUGGGACUCUGCAUCUCUGCUGGGGCUGGUUUCUCCUCUGAGCCACCUUAAGGAAUCCCACCCUGACCCGGUCAGAGCUCACCAUGCCUCCCUCUCCUACUUGCUCAGCAUUUUGUGUCUAUCUAGACUGAAGCCUUUGCUUUCUCUCUGUGAUUAUGGUGAAAGUUCAGUUUGCUUUCCUAUCUCUAGAAUGUCAGCACGAAGGCAGAGGCAUGGUCUCCUGAGUUCCAUAACCCCAAAGCCUAACUCCCUGCCUGCCACACUGAGGGGCUUAGUAGACAUUGACUUACUAAAUUGAAUAGUUGAGUAAUAAUGCUCUUUGAAAUAAUUUGGAGUUAGAUCUUGAGCCUUGUGUGGCCAGAGGAUGGGUGAGGACACAUCAUAAAAACUAAAGGUAACUGAGCAUGCCAGUGGUUGGGGUGAGAAAUUUGCAUGGAGCACUCCAGACACAGAGGCAGCAAAACCCAAGUGCUGGGAAGUCAGAGUGAGAGAGUGAAGGGGCAGUGAGUGCUUCUUUAGGAGCUGGAUCAAAACCUAAGAUGAUCUGGCCACAUGGUGCAGACUGAGCACACACUUGGGAGAGAAAUGGGCCAGGAGGAGAGGAGAGAGGUUCACCACAGGACAGUGGAUGACUGGGAAUAGAAGCCCUCCCCAUGGUGGACCAAGAAGUCUGUGAAGCUGAGAGAAAGACAAAAGAAAUCACGACUUCUGUAGGUAGCUGGGAUGGAAACCUCAGGGGUGACAGGGUCUUUAAAGGAAAUCUCAAGGAAGGCAUCAUGUUCUGGGUGUGCUCCAGGGAUGCUGAGUAAGAAAAGACCAGCCUUUCUGUGUGUGUCUUUACUCUGCCACAAGGCACCUGGGCUCCUAAAUGACCAAUACACAUGUGCUAUACUGGUGCCAAGAAAGAAGGGUGUUUUGUAGGAAAGUCAAGGUGAGAGGAGGUGCCCAGGACUUGGCUCCUUUCUUUGAAGGGUGACGGUGUAAAUUCUCCAUGCUGGGGAUCCUACUGAUGGAUGGAGGCAUGUCGAUCUCAUCAUUUCACAGAGUGGGGAGCUAUGGCCACAACGUGCCUAUCACACAAGUCCAGCCUCACGUCAGCUGGACACCAGCUGUUCUGACACUUGUCAGCACAUGGGGCACCCGGAAGUUCAUGGUGUUCUGCAAAGAACGCCACAAAACAGUGAGCUCAACUUCUUGAAAGUCAUAAUGUGUUGCUAAGUCCGAUCCCAGAUCCUAAAAAUAAUAUGAGGUAGUGGCCAUUGAACAGAAAAAAUUUACAUCUUAAACUUGAAGAUAAGUACAAGUGUACCUUUUUCUACCACUGUUGUUCAGUUUUAUUAUAUUGACAAGCACCUCUGCCCACCCUGUGGGGUAAAACUGUUUGAAAGUGUUUAUGAAAGUUUUAUAUAAAUAUUGGUUGAUCAAAUGUACAAAAUAUGCAUGAUGGCACCAUAUUGUGUAUAAUAGUGACAAAUACAGUCUAUGUGGGUGGAGAAACAAGCUCGGUGUUGU